GCCCGGGUGGUGAAAUUGGUAGACACAGCAGACUUAAAAUUUGCCGACGCAAGUCAUGCGGGUUCGAUUCCCGCCCCGGGCA
This 82-nucleotide transfer RNA is filed under the name Patescibacteria group bacterium. Its description in RNAcentral is "tRNA-Leu". It matches the Rfam family "tRNA". From Rfam's summary of the family: Transfer RNA (tRNA) molecules are approximately 80 nucleotides in length. The record is from RNAcentral.